GGCUGAAAUUCGCCUUCAUGAAGCCGGAAUUGCUAGUAAUGGCAGGUCAGCAUACUGCCGUGAAUGCGUUCCCGGGCCUUGUACACACCGCCCGUCACACCAUGAGAGUUGGGAAUACCCGAAGCCUGUGAGCUAACGUUAAGAGGCAGCAGUCGAAGGUAGAAUCAAUGAUUGGGGUGAAGUCGUAACAAGGUACC
RNAcentral lists this ribosomal RNA (197 nucleotides) under uncultured bacterium. Its description in RNAcentral is "partial 16S ribosomal RNA". It matches the Rfam family "Bacterial small subunit ribosomal RNA", at positions 1303 to 1500 of the family's 1533-position model. The record is from RNAcentral.